UUUAAGUGCAACCAUGAGUUUCGGUGUCCAACUUUGAUCUUCUGUCUUAUUUAAAUUUUUUUAUGAUUAGCAUUUUUGUUGUUAUUAGAUGAUAAAACAUGAAUAGUACUUUAUGUGUGACUUCUGUUUUUAAUUUUUUUUAAAAAAAAAUUCAAAUAAGACGGACGAUCAAAGUUGAGCACGGAAAAUCAUGGCUGCACUUAAA
Oryza meridionalis is the source of this 205-nucleotide non-coding RNA. Lineage: Eukaryota; Viridiplantae; Streptophyta; Magnoliopsida; Poales; Poaceae. The record is from Rfam.